UAAAUUGACUUAGCGGCGGACGGGUAAGUAACGCGUGGGUAACCUGCCUUACACUGGGGGAUAACAGUUAGAAAUGACUGCUAAUACCGCAUAAGCGCACAGGGCCGCAUGGUCUGGUGUGAAAAACUCCGGUGGUGUAAGAUGGACCCGCGUCUGAUUAGGUAGUUGGUGGGGUAACGGCCCACCAAGCCGACGAUCAGUAGCCGACCUGAGAGGGUGACCGGCCACAUUGGGACUGAGACACGGCCCAAACUCCUACGGGAGGCAGCAUG
Molecule: ribosomal RNA, 272 nt
Filed under: uncultured bacterium
Lineage: Bacteria
Description: partial 16S ribosomal RNA
Rfam family: Bacterial small subunit ribosomal RNA
Source: RNAcentral